GGUUGGAUAUUUCAGUCGGUAGAACAUUAGACUCUUAAUCUCCGGGUCGUGGGUUUGAGCCCCAUGUCGAGUG
Non-coding RNA from Podarcis lilfordi (Lilford's wall lizard), 73 nucleotides. The record is from the annotation of a GenBank genome assembly. NCBI's taxonomy places the organism in Eukaryota, Metazoa, Chordata, Lepidosauria, Squamata, Lacertidae.